This 699-nucleotide long non-coding RNA is filed under the name Mytilus galloprovincialis (Mediterranean mussel). Lineage: Eukaryota; Metazoa; Mollusca; Bivalvia; Mytilida; Mytilidae. The record is from RNAcentral.
CGCAAACCUUUUGCGUUAUAACGCAAACCUUUGCGAAAUAACGCAAACUUUUGCGUUAAAACGUAAACCUUUGCGUUACAACGCAAACCUUUGCGAUAUAAUGCAAAUCUUUGCGUUAAAACGCAAACCUUUGCGUUAUAACACAAACAUUUAUUUUAUCUUAUUUCUUAUUUAAGAUUCAAAGGAAACAGUAGUUAUUAAUGGAGGAGGCUGUAUAAUAUAUUAAAAUUUAUCACCUUUGUAGUCAUUGCAAAGUAAAAUGCUUGAAUAAUUAUAUCAUAUCAUUGACUAAUAAUGAGCAGAAUAUUAUAAGAAGAUGUGGUAUGAGUGCCAAUAAGAAAAAUCUCCAUCUAAGUCACUAUUCGUAAAAGUAAACCAUCAUAGGCAAAGUACGGUCUUCAACACGGAGCAUUGGCUCACACUGAACAACAAACUAUAAAGGCCCCCCAAAACGAUAUCCAUGUUACUACUAGUAUAUAUAUUACAAAGAAAAUUGAGUAAAUUUAUGUUAUACCUAAGAAAAAAAUCAACCCUGCUAAUAUAGCUAUAACCGAAUAUAAAUAUACUUCCAAAGUAAGCUCUGGUUUGAGAACUGUGUAAAGUAGGUUAGAUUCAAACAAGCUACCCUUUGACAAUAUUUGUAUAGAAUGAAGAUGUUUUAUUAACAAAAUUAUGUUCUCUCUAUUCAAAUUGCUACCC